Molecule: small nuclear RNA, 99 nt
Organism: Nymphaea colorata (pocket water lily)
Lineage: Eukaryota; Viridiplantae; Streptophyta; Magnoliopsida; Nymphaeales; Nymphaeaceae
Source: RefSeq, a predicted model, not a curated record
UACUUAAAAAGUAAUAUGAUAAAAUUGAAACGGCACAGAGAAGAUUAGCAUGACUCCGAUACAAGGAUGACAAACAUAUAAGCAUUAAUGACUAGUUAU